Fukomys damarensis (Damara mole-rat) is the source of this 104-nucleotide small nuclear RNA. Lineage: Eukaryota; Metazoa; Chordata; Mammalia; Rodentia; Bathyergidae. The record is from Ensembl.
GGGCUCACAAUGGCAGCACACAUGUUAAAAUUGUAAUGAUACAGAGAUUAGCAUGGCCCCUGUGCAAGGAUGACACAUGAAUUUGAGAAGCACUCCAUAAUUUU